Molecule: ribosomal RNA, 30 nt
Filed under: Rhizoctonia solani AG-4 HGI
Lineage: Eukaryota; Fungi; Basidiomycota; Agaricomycetes; Cantharellales; Ceratobasidiaceae
Description: partial 28S ribosomal RNA
Source: RNAcentral
CUGGACUUAAGCAUAUCAAUAAGCGGAGGA